This 452-nucleotide long non-coding RNA is filed under the name Agrilus planipennis (emerald ash borer). RNAcentral's name for it is "uncharacterized LOC108740035, transcript variant X1". Lineage: Eukaryota; Metazoa; Arthropoda; Insecta; Coleoptera; Buprestidae. The record is from RNAcentral.
CUAAUGAAAAAGUCUACUGUAAUACAGAUAUUGCUGGACUUCUUUGUUCGCUAUUGAGUUUUUACCUUCGACGAUUUUGCAGUGAAUAAGAUUGAUCGGUAAUCAAGAAAGAAAGAGAGAGAGAACACUGGAGUUCAUUGUGACCCUAUUAAAGAAGUCUACUGUGAUGCAAUUCUUCCUGGACUUUUACACGUUCUCUGUUGAUCUUCCACAUGGACGAUUUUGCAGUAAAUUAAGAUUGUCCCACAAAUGAGAAGGAAUUGCAGUUAAUUUUGAUGCUACUGAAACAACCGAUGCUUUUUGAUUGGAAGCGACUAGUAGAACAAUUUGUCUGCAGUGGUAUCCCUCCUAGUUUGGUUUACUCAUCACACUGGCAGACUUUAGAACGCCAUUUUCUACAAUUAAUUAAGGUUAUACAAUAAAUGAGAGAAUUAAUGUUCAGUUUGGUUAUA